Molecule: ribosomal RNA, 551 nt
Filed under: uncultured bacterium
Lineage: Bacteria
Description: bacterial SSU rRNA
Rfam family: Bacterial small subunit ribosomal RNA
Source: RNAcentral
ACGGUACCGGAGGAAUAAGCACCGGCUAACUUCGUGCCAGCAGCCGCGGUAAUACGAAGGGUGCAAGCGUUAUCCGGAUUCAUUGGGUUUAAAGGGUGCGUAGGUGGGGCGAUAAGUCAGCGGUGAAAUCCUGCAGCUCAACUGCAGAAUUGCCGUUGAUACUGUCGCUCUUGAGUACGCUUGACGUGGGCGGAAUGUGCCGUGUAGCGGUGAAAUGCUUAGAUAUGGCACAGAACACCGAUAGUGAAGACAGCUCACGAAGGCGAAACUGACACUGAGGCACGAAAGCGUGGGGAUCGAACAGGAUUAGAUACCCUGGUAGUCCACGCCGUAAACGAUGAUCACUCGUGAUCGGCGAUAUACGGCCGGUCACCUAGCGAAAGCGUUAAGUGAUCCACCUGGGGAGUACGGCCGCAAGGCUGAAACUCAAAGGAAUUGACGGGGGCCCGCACAAGCGGUGGAGCAUGUGGUUUAAUUCGAUGAUACGCGAGGAACCUUACCAGGGCUCGAACGCACGACGACAGGGGUGGAAACAUCCUCUUCUUCGGACG